This 301-nucleotide ribosomal RNA is filed under the name uncultured bacterium. RNAcentral describes it as "partial 16S ribosomal RNA". It matches the Rfam family "Bacterial small subunit ribosomal RNA", at positions 509 to 807 of the family's 1533-position model. The record is from RNAcentral.
CAGCAGCCGCGGGAAUACGAAGGGUGCAAGCGUUAAUCGGAAUUACUGGGCGUAAAGCGUGCGUAGGUGGUGGUUUAAGUCCGUUGUGAAAGCCCUGGGCUCAACCUGGGAAUUGCAGUGGAUACUGGGUCACUAGAGUGUGGUAGAGGAUAGUGGAAUUUCCGGUGUAGCAGUGAAAUGCGUAGAGAUCGGAAGGAACAUCUGUGGCGAAGGCGACUAUCUGGGCCAACACUGACACUGAGGCACGAAAGCGUGGGGAGCAAACAGGAUUAGAUACCCCCGUAGUCCCUGUCUCUUAUAC